Non-coding RNA from Panthera uncia (snow leopard), 2421 nucleotides. Lineage: Eukaryota; Metazoa; Chordata; Mammalia; Carnivora; Felidae. The record is from the annotation of a RefSeq genome assembly.
UCCCCUCUGGAGGACCUUUCCCUUAAAGUCUAGAUAAAAGGUCAGCUUGAAUCCUGCUUUGACUUGUCAGGACUCAUCAAGCCAACAUCUCAAAAUGAGGUUCCCUGCUCAGCUCCUGGGGCUGCUAGUGCUUUGGUUCCCUGGAUCCGGUGCGGAUGUCGUGAUGACACAGACCCCUCUGUCCCUGCCCGUCACCCCUGGAGAGCCGGCCUCAAUCUCCUGCAGGGCCAGUCAGAGCCUCCUGCACAGUAAUGGAAACACCUAUUUACAUUGGUACCUGCAGAAGCCAGUCCAGUCUCCACGGCUCCUGAUCUAUAAGGUUUCCAACCGGGCCUCUGGGGUCCCAGACAGGUUCAGUGGCAGCGGGUCAGGGACAGAUUUCACCCUGAGAAUCAGCAGGAUGGAGGCUGACGACGUCGGAGUUUAUUACUGCUACCAAAGUACAAAGAAUCUUCCCACUGUGGUUCAGCCCAGAACACAAACCUCCCUUCCUGGGGGUCCAGCUGCCCGAGCAUGUGGCCUCUCUGGGGAACACACAGGACGUUCUCUGAGUCUGUGUAAGAGGAAGGUGCUGUAGAACCCGGGGAACAGCCUGCAGCUGCACAGUACGGCCCCGUCAGCUGCACAGCCUGGCAGGCAGCAUCAGAAGGGAAAUUCAAGAGGUCCUGUCCUGUGAGGAACCGGUCAGGGGGAAGGGAAGAGCCAAUGACAGCUGCACCUGAUCCCCGGUCCCCGCCUGUGUUUUCAAUUAAGUGCAGCCAGUCUAGUCACCAGACAAGUCACACAGAUAUUUGGUGACAAAUUCAUCCAUACUGCAGAUGAACAGUGUGGGGUAUGUUUUCCACAGCAUCGUAGUUGCUAAUAUUGGUAAUGUUGGUAUUUUCUCACUUUCUCUUUUUCUCACUUCUCUGUGACUCCCUGUCCCCUGCAUUCAUAUGUUCAAGAGAGCACUCGGCACAAGCUGUCCUCACCGAGAGUACGGAUGAGAAAGGUUAAUAACGAUGUUUAAUUCUGGUAAAAUCAAAUUAGCCUUUUGAAAAUUUUCUGUAAAUAUAAUAAGAUUCCAGUGCCAAGAUUCUUUGAUUUCCCUCCAUUACAUUUUUCAGAGUGCAAAGGGGGUUCUCGCAAUUUCAAAAGUGGGUUUUGAUACUAAACAGUGAAAAGGAAUGAUCGAGACAAAAGUUACCUUUCUGUAUCACAGGAAAAUCCAGAAUACAUGAGAUUUUUCUUUCUCUCCUCUAUGGUAAGGGUGUUAAGUAUCUUGAACGUAAACACUGCUUUGGAUAUGACGAAUUUGGAACUCUGUUGCUAUAAGAAAAGGUUUUGUACAAUACAUGAGCGCAUCGUUCCAUAUGGUGUGCUCAUUAACCAAAAAUGACCCCGAAUAAUAUAUUUUGGGGGAAUGUGUAUUAAAUUCAUGCAUUGAAUACAUCCCCUUCAAUAGCGCGCUUAAAUGUGAAUCCUGACUAAUCACGGGGUCAUACCAUUGGUUCAUGGCACAUACGACAGAAGCAAGAGAUUAAAUUCACAAGCAUCUAAUCCUAUGCCUAGUUAAGAAAAUAAGGUGUACUGGAGAUGAUCGACUCUUCCAAGAUAAUGAAUAUCAUGACAAGUACAAUUAAACCCAAUGUUUCAGUUCCGGUUGCUUUGACAGGGUGUGGAAAAAUGUAUACAGAAAUCAAACUGACUGGAGCCCACACAUCAUGGCAGCCUGAGUGAUUGGUGUGAAACUCCUUUGCUAGCAUGCAUGUUAAUCGUUAUCAAUUCAGACCUAUAAACCCACUGCUUUCUUGUCUCCCGCAAAGUUUGGUAUACGGUAUAUUCUUUCAACUCAAAAGAUGUUCCAGUUUCCCUUUUUGUUCUUUCUGGACCCGACUGUUGCUUGGUAAUUUCUUACUUGGUUUCUAAAUGUUUGGGGAUUGUUUGAUAACUUUCUGUUACUGACUUUGAAUAUUGAAAGGAACAGCUUUGAAUCCAAAUGACAGCCCUGCCUUAGUUUAAAGCUAGGUUCUCUUUUCUGCUUAUUAUGGAUCCUUGAUAAGAAAUACAAUUGCUGAGAAGUCUGUUUUGCUUGCUGUUUGCUAUGAGCAUUGUGAGACCUUUCCUGAUUGUAACCCACUGUGUAGUAGAAUGGGCUGUAAAACUUCCUAAAUGUAGUCUGAUAUGUAAUGGAAUGAGUGAUUGUAUACAAACUAACUGGCAUUUCUUGCUUCUGUAAACCUGCUUGCUUAGCACAUUCCUCACCUACCCCCUUCCCCCUUUCUUCCUCCCGCCACAAGUAAAAACCUCCCCUGUGCUAUUUGUCUCUGUCUAUAAAAACGCUAUACCAACCCUAAUCGUGGCCUCUUGCGUCACCGGCGACGAGUGCGCAGAGGACCAGGUUCGAACCUGCAAUAAACGACCCUUGCCGCUUGGCUUUGA